CCCUGAUUUCCCCCCAAAAAACUCUAAUCUCCCCACAAAUGCUCCGAUUUCCCCCCAAAAUGCCCUGAUUUCCCCCCAAAAACCUCCCAUUUCUCCCCAAAAAGCUCUGAUUUCCCUCCAAAACACCCUGAUUUCCCCCCAAAAAGCUCUGAUUUCCCACAAAAAAGCUCCCAUUUCCCCCCAAAAACUCCGAUUUCCCUCCAAAAUGCUCUGAUUUCCCCCCAAAAUGUUCCAAUUUCCCCCCCAUUUUAGUGAUGGGUGCCCAUGGGUGCCGAUGGGUGCCCGUGGAUUACAUUGGGUGCCAAUGGGGGCCAGUAGGGUGGCAGUGGGGGGCAAUGGGUGCCCAUAGGCGCCAAUGGGUGCCAAUGGGUGCCAAUGGGGGUCAAUGGGUGCCAAUGGGGGCCAGUGGGUGCCAAUGGGUGCCAAUGGGGGUCAAUGGGGAUCAAUGGGUGCCAAUGGGGGCCAGUGGGUGCCAAUGGGUGCCAAUGGGGGUCAAUGGGGGUCAAUGGGUGCCAAUGGGUACCAAUGGGUGCCAAUGGGGGCCAGUGGGUGCCAAUGGGUGCCAAUGGAGGCCAAUGGGUGCCAAUGGGUGCCAAUGGGGGUCAAUAGGUGCCAAUGGGUGCCAAUGGGUUCUAUGGGUGCCAAUGGGGGCCAAUGGGUGCCAAUGGGGGGCAAUGAGGGCCAAUGGGUGCCAAUGAGGGCCAAUGGGUGCCAAUGGGUGCCAAUGGGUCCCAAUGGGUUUCAAUGGGUUUUAAUGGGUGCCAAUGGGUUUUAAUGGGUGCCAAUGGGCCACAAUAGGUGCCAAUGGGUGCCAAUGGGUGCCAAUGGGGGCCAGUGGGUUAUAAUGGGUGCCGAUGGAUUACAAUGGGUGCCAAUGGGUGCCAAUGAGUUACAAUGGGUGCCAACAGGUUACAGUGGGUUACGAGUGCCAAUGGGGGCAAUGAGGGCCAAUGGGUGCCAGUGGGGGGCAAUGGACGGCAAUGGGUGCCAAUGGGGGUCAAUGGGGGCCAAUGGGGGCCAGUGGGUUAUAAUGGGUGCCAAUGGGUUACAAUGAGUUUUAAUGGGUGCCUAUGCAUUACAAUGGGUGCCAAGGGGUGGCUGCCAUCACUGCAGCCCCUUCAGCCAAGCGGCGGUGCGACGCCUGGCGGUCCUCCAGGCCACACGGGGUCAAUGGGUGCCAAUGGCUUACAAUGGGUGCCAAUGGGUUCUAUGGGUGCCAAUGGAUUACAAUGGGUGCCAAUGGGGGCCAGUGGGUUACAAUGGGUGCCAAUGGGUGCCAAUGAGUUACAAUGGGAGCCAAUGGGGGCCAGUGGGUUACAAUGGGUGCCAAUGGGGGCCAAUGAGUUACAAUGGGUGCCAAUGGGGGCCAAUGGGUGCCAAUGGGUGCCAAUGGGGGCCAAUGAGUUACAAUGGGUGCCAAUGGGCGCCAAUGGGUGCCAAUGGGUGCCAAUGGGGGCCAAUGAGUUACAAUGGGUGCCAAUGGGGGCCAAUGGGAGCCAAUGGGUGCCAAU
This 1511-nucleotide long non-coding RNA is filed under the name Phasianus colchicus (ring-necked pheasant). RNAcentral describes it as "lncRNA (ENSPCLG00000013952.1)". Lineage: Eukaryota; Metazoa; Chordata; Aves; Galliformes; Phasianidae. The record is from RNAcentral.